Fomitopsis serialis is the source of this 99-nucleotide non-coding RNA. The record is from the annotation of a RefSeq genome assembly. NCBI's taxonomy places the organism in Eukaryota, Fungi, Basidiomycota, Agaricomycetes, Polyporales, Fomitopsidaceae.
GCCGGAAUAGCUCAGUUGGGAGAGCAGUAGACUGAAGUCGUCACGUGCUUCCGCGGUCACGUGUUCUAAAGGUCGGGCGUUCGAUCCGCCCUUCUGGCA